UACGAAACAUUGAGAUAGAUUACCUUAACGUGAAUCAUUGAGAAGAUAUUUGCUAUCUCAUUUUGGGAAGCGUUUGAGCAUGUCAUUUGCACCUUGAAGUUGUCAGCCCAAAACAUAUAUUCAUCUAAAAAAAUAGAGAGAAUACGCAUUAGGAAGCACAGAAGUACUCGAUCAGACGCAUCGAGGAUCGAGCUCCACUGUUCUCAAAAUCUUUGCAGCUUAAGGAUGGAUACCUCUUGUUAGGUAGUUAAUCUGGACAGAGUAAAGCAUACACUAAUAGAUAUAUUAGAGAAGACCAUUAACUAUAUACAAAACUGACUGCAGCCUCCAGAAAAAGAAACUUACAUGUAGGUAAAGUGUGUGUUGGGGCGUUGGACUGCUGUAGCUCAUAUUUUUAACCUCGACUAAUGCAGAGUCUCCGGCAACAAUUGACACAAAUAGUUUGAAAAGCCAUGAGAACUGUAAUGAGUAAUGUAUGGAACCAAAAAUACAAAUUAAAUGUACAACAAAAGAAGACGAAACAUUGAUAUAGAUUACCUUAACAUGUGUCANNN
RNAcentral lists this long non-coding RNA (554 nucleotides) under Capsella grandiflora. RNAcentral describes it as "long non-coding RNA (CGRA_LNC000902)". Lineage: Eukaryota; Viridiplantae; Streptophyta; Magnoliopsida; Brassicales; Brassicaceae. The record is from RNAcentral.